CACCGGUGCAAAGAGCUUCUCCGAAACGUUGAUCGGCAGCACUAUUUACCUGGACAAGCGAGUUCCACAGAGUAACUCACGGGAGCCUUGACCUGUGGAUGGUGGCGUGCCAGUGAGGAGCUGAGCUGAUCGCAGAGCGCCGCCUGUGACUUCCUGACCUGCUCCAGUGAGGAGUGGGUCGAGCGAAAGGAAAAUCGGCAGAACUGUUUCCAUACAACUGUUUCCACUAAUCCUAAAUCGCAGCCACUGGAAGACACUGACCUCCUCUGAACAUGUGUUGGUGAUUACGCCCUACUCACUCCACACCGGGCCUGUUUGCACCGCCAGAGGAAGAUGAGCCUGGAGAGUAGAAAUCUGCUGUCUACUCCGCUGUGCUGCUCACCCACUUCACCCACGGACACUAACCCAUAGUGCCAGCCAAAGAGACAUGACUGGACCAAUGCAUGUACCGGUAUAUGCCAGACAGCAUAGGGCUUCUCUGUGAGCAUGCCUGGACUGGUCGUCUCGGAACUCGGGACAAAGGAGAGCCAGGGAGCAGGUGUGAUUGGAAACAGUGACCAAUGGGAGAGCUCUCGCUCUCCCUCCCUUCUUUGCUC
This is a long non-coding RNA of Alosa sapidissima (American shad), 596 nucleotides long. RefSeq lists it as uncharacterized. Lineage: Eukaryota; Metazoa; Chordata; Actinopteri; Clupeiformes; Clupeidae. The record is from RefSeq and is a predicted model, not a curated record. The transcript has 6 exons.